Molecule: long non-coding RNA, 394 nt
Organism: Centruroides sculpturatus (bark scorpion)
Lineage: Eukaryota; Metazoa; Arthropoda; Arachnida; Scorpiones; Buthidae
Exons: 3
Source: RefSeq, a predicted model, not a curated record
UGAGGUUUGUGAAUAUGUUACAAUUUUUGUUCUACUGUCCAGUUCUGAAAUUGAGGAGGUUAUUGAUAAUUUAUAAUUAAUGUAUAAAAUUGAGUGAUAGAAUUCUUAUUAUUUUUAUUUUAGAUUUUAGUAUAUGAUAUUCGUUCAGAUAAACCAUUUUACGUAAAAGAUCAUAUGUAUGGGUUACCUAUUAAAGAUAUUGAAUUUCAUAAAUCGCAGAAUUUGGUUAUCUCAAUGGACAGCAAAAUUGUCAAAUUAUGGGAUGCUAAUAAUGGCAAAAUUUUUACAUCAAUCCAAGCUACAACCGAUUUGAAUGAUUUGUGUGUUGUGCCUGAUUCAGGCUUAAUCUUCUUGGCACAUGAAGAGAGAAAAGUUUUAACUUAUUACAUUCCUG